Molecule: unclassified non-coding RNA, 256 nt
Filed under: Hevea brasiliensis (rubber tree)
Lineage: Eukaryota; Viridiplantae; Streptophyta; Magnoliopsida; Malpighiales; Euphorbiaceae
Source: RNAcentral
GCAAAGCGCCAACGAGUGGAAGAUCUGCAUCAUCCUCCAAAUCGUUUUGGUGCAGAAAGGAGGACUCUGCCGCUCUACGAGCAUCGAAGGCAUUUACAAGUUCAGAGAUGGCAACCACAGCCUGUUUUAUCAUAGUGAGCAGGAACGAUAUCCCUAUAUAUGAAGCUGAAGUUGGAUCUGCCGCUAAAAGAGAAGAUGCUGCUCAGCUGCAUCAAUUUAUUUUGCAUGCAGCUCUGGAUAUUGUCCAGGACCUGGC